This 460-nucleotide ribosomal RNA is filed under the name uncultured bacterium. RNAcentral describes it as "partial 16S ribosomal RNA". It matches the Rfam family "Bacterial small subunit ribosomal RNA", at positions 338 to 795 of the family's 1533-position model. The record is from RNAcentral.
CCUACGGGUGGCUGCAGUGAGGAAUAUUGGUCAAUGGGCGCGAGCCUGAACCAGCCAAGUAGCGUGAAGGAUGACUGCCCUACGGGUUGUAAACUUCUUUUAUAAAGGAAUAAAGUGCGUCACGUGUGCCUUUUUGUAGGUACUUCAUGAAUAAGGAUCGGCUAACUCCGUGCCAGCAGCCGCGGUAAUACGGAGGAUCCGAGCGUUAUCCGGAUUUAUUGGGGUUAAAGGGAGCGUAGGUGGGUUGUUAAGUCAGUUGUGAAAUGUUGCGGCUCAACCGUAGAAGUGCAAUUGAUACUGGCAGUCGUGAGUACAGUUGAGGUAGGCGGAAUUCGUGGUGUAGCGGUGAAAUGCUUAGAUAUCACGAAGAACUCCGAUUGCGAAGGCAGCUUACUAAACUGCCACUGACAUUGAUGCUCGAAAGUGUGGGUAUCAAACAGGAUUAGAUACCCGGGUAGUC